GGGGAUUUAGCUCAGUGGUAGAGCGCUUGCCUAGGGAGCGCAAGGCCCUGGGUUCGGUCCCCAGCUCCG
Rattus norvegicus (Norway rat) is the source of this 69-nucleotide non-coding RNA. NCBI's taxonomy places the organism in Eukaryota, Metazoa, Chordata, Mammalia, Rodentia, Muridae. The record is from Rfam.